UCGACGGGGAGGUUUGGCACCUCGAUGUCGGCUCAUCACAUCCUGGGGCUGUAGUAGGUCCCAAGGGUUGGGCUGUUCGCCCAUUAAAGUGGUACGCGAGCUGGGUUCAGAACGUCGUGAGACAGUUCGGUCCCUAUCCGUCGCAGGCGUAGGAAAUUUGAGAAGACCUGUCCUUAGUACGAGAGGACCGGGAUGGACGUACCUCUGGUGUACCAGUUGUCCUGCCAAGGGCAUGGCUGGGUAGCUAUGUACGGAAUGGAUAAGCGCUGAAAGCAUCUAAGCGCGAAGCCAACUUCAAGAUAAGAUUUCCCACCGCAAGGGUAAGACCCCAGAAAGACUAUCUGGUUGAUAGGUCGAAGGUGUAAGUGCAGCAAUGUAUUUAGCUUAUCGAUACUAAUAGGUCGAGGACUUGACCAAU
RNAcentral lists this ribosomal RNA (418 nucleotides) under Clostridioides difficile. RNAcentral describes it as "partial 23S ribosomal RNA". It matches the Rfam family "Bacterial large subunit ribosomal RNA", at positions 2505 to 2925 of the family's 2925-position model. Lineage: Bacteria; Bacillati; Bacillota; Clostridia; Peptostreptococcales; Peptostreptococcaceae. The record is from RNAcentral.